Molecule: ribosomal RNA, 699 nt
Filed under: uncultured bacterium
Lineage: Bacteria
Description: bacterial SSU rRNA
Rfam family: Bacterial small subunit ribosomal RNA
Source: RNAcentral
AGAGUUUGAUCCUGGCUCAGAAUGAACGCUGGCGGCGUGGAUAAGACAUGCAAGUCGAACGAAAAGUGAUUUAGUUUACUAAUGAUCUUUUAGUGGCGGACGGGUUAGUAACGCGUGAGCAACCUACCUUAAAGAGGGGGAUAGUCCUGGGAAACUGGGUUUAAUACCGCAUAAGCUCUACGGAGUAAAGUGGCCUUCGGGUCACGCUUUAAGAUGGGCUCGCGUCCUAUCAGCUUGUUGGUGAGGUAAAGGCUCACCAAGGCGACGACGGGUAGUUGGUCUGAGAGGACGAUCAGCAACACUGGAACUGAGACACGGUCCAGACACCUACGGGUGGCAGCAGUCGAGAAUCAUUCACAAUGGACGAAAGUCUGAUGGUGCAACGCCGCGUGUGGGAUGAAGGCCUUAGGGUCGUAAACCACUGUCAUGUGAGAGUAAGACAUAUUAGUUAAUACCUGGUAUGUUUGAUAGUAUCACAAGAGGAAGGGACGGCUAACUUCGUGCCAGCAGCCGCGGUAAUACGAAGGUCCCGAGCGUUAUUCGGAAUCACUGGGCGUAAAGGGAGCGUAGGCGGCGCGGUAAGUCAGAUGUGAAAUCUCAGAGCUCAACUCUGAAACUGCAUCCGAUACUGCCGUGCUAGAGUAAUGGAGGGGUAACUGGAAUUCUCGGUGUAGCAGUGAAAUGCGUAGAUAUCGAGAG